GGUGUUGCAUGGCUGUCGUCAGCUCGUGUCGUGAGAUGUUGGGUUAAGUCCCGCAACGAGCGCAACCCUCAUCCUUAGUUACCAUCAGGUAAUGCUGGGGACUUUAAGGAAACUGCCAGUGAUAAACUGGAGGAAGGUGGGGAUGAUGUCAAGUCAUCAUGGCCCUUAUGGAGUGGGCUACACACGUGCUACAAUGGUGGCUACAAUGGGCUGCAAAGUCGCGAGGCUAAGCUAAUCCCUUAAAAGCCAUCUCAGUUCGGAUUGUACUCUGCAACUCGAGUGCAUGAAGUUGGAAUCGCUAGUAAUCGUGGAUCAGCACGCCACGGUGAAUACGUUCCCGGGUCUUAUACACAC
Molecule: ribosomal RNA, 354 nt
Filed under: uncultured bacterium
Lineage: Bacteria
Description: bacterial SSU rRNA
Rfam family: Bacterial small subunit ribosomal RNA
Source: RNAcentral